Molecule: non-coding RNA, 552 nt
Organism: Anas platyrhynchos (mallard)
Lineage: Eukaryota; Metazoa; Chordata; Aves; Anseriformes; Anatidae
Source: RefSeq, a predicted model, not a curated record
AGGACAACUCAGAACUCCUUAACUCAAGAAAGGAUGUGGAGCUGAAAAGAGGACAUGGUUCAAAUUGAAGUGAAAGAAGAAGGAGUUGUAGAAUACAUUGCCAGAACCAGGUAUUUUACUCACCCAGGAGUCCUACUCAGUUGCAACAGUGCCCAUGCCAGACAGACAAGAAACAUUAUGAAGAACAGCAACAGAAUAAUCAGAUGCAGCAAACCCUAAUGUGUUGUAGUGGGGAACUGCAGCUUCUUUUUCUCCAACUCUCUUACAUGAGAUUCUCAUUUGGAUUUUCUGUUGGUGUUACAAUAUUCUAAAAUGUCAUUGUUCAGUUGCCAGAGAACAGGACUUAACACUGUAGCCUUAUAUCAGGGAUAUAUGCUUAUCCUGUGUGUCUAUGCUAGUUAUAAAUUUGGAUAUUUAGGAAGGGCUUUCACUGAAAUAUGGGCUAUAUGUGGUAAUUAAUCUGGCCUCAGUGAUUAAAUUACAACCUAGCUAUAUUUUAACUUCUUGUUCUUUGGGAUUGUUCCUGGGGAAAAAAAAAAAAAAAAAAAAAAA